GUCCAUUGUAGGAUACUCGCUGUCUUUUUCUUCACUUUGCUUGGCUGUUCUGAUCAUGAGUCUUCUGAGGAAGCUUCACUGUACGAGGAACUACAUCCACAUGAAUCUCUUUGUAUCAUUCAUAUUUAGAGCAACAGCAGUAAUUAUUAAAGAGGUUAUAUUACAUGUUGCGUAUACCAACCUGCCCAGGGACGAGAUCGGAUGGAACAGCUACACAAAAUCUACGAUUUCAUUCGUCUGCAAGGCCUCAAAGGUGUCGCUGGAAUAUUUUGUGGGCUGUAAUUACUUCUGGCUGUUAGUGGAGGCGAUAUUCCUGCACACGCUGCUGUUCACCGCAGUUCUGACCAGGAAAAGACUUCUGAAGAAAUAUAUGAUUAUAGG
Molecule: long non-coding RNA, 381 nt
Organism: Sinocyclocheilus anshuiensis
Lineage: Eukaryota; Metazoa; Chordata; Actinopteri; Cypriniformes; Cyprinidae
Exons: 3
Source: RefSeq, a predicted model, not a curated record